Molecule: ribosomal RNA, 678 nt
Filed under: Ionopsis utricularioides
Lineage: Eukaryota; Viridiplantae; Streptophyta; Magnoliopsida; Asparagales; Orchidaceae
Description: eukaryotic LSU rRNA
Rfam family: 5.8S ribosomal RNA (bases 243-398)
Source: RNAcentral
UAACAAGGUUUCCGUAAGGUGAACCUGCGGAAGGAUCAUUGUCGAGACCCGAAGAAUAUAUCGAGCGAUUUGAAGAACCCGUUAAAUGUGCAAAUGGUCGUCCCGUUCGUCCCUGAGGCUCCUCGAGGUGAAGGGGCGCGGGGUGGGACUUAUGAACAACAAACCGGCGCAGCAACGCGCCAAGGGAAGAUUGAAAUGCGCGAGCCUUGAGUGGGGCUCGGUGAUGUGGAGUGCUGGUGCAUGACUCUCGACAAUGGAUAUCUUGGCUCUUGCAUCGAUGAAGAGCGCAGCGAAAUGCGAUACGUGGUGCGAAUUGCAGAAUCCCGUGAACCAUCGAGUCUUUGAACGCAAGUUGCGCCCGAGGCCAGCCGGCCAAGGGCACGUCCGCCUGGGCGUCAAGCGUUGCGUCGCUCCGUGCUAGCCGUCUUGCCUAAGGGCAUGCUGGGUGAGGCCCGGAUGUGUAGGGUGGCUCGUCGUGCCCGUUGGUGCGGCGGGCUGAAGAGCAGGUUUUGUCUCAAUGGCCGCGAACAAUAAGGGGUGGGUGCAAACUAUGAGCGCAGCCUGUGUUGUCUCGUGCUGGCGCGAGAGAUGGAUUGUGCCUUUGAUGUGAUCCCCGAUCAUGCCACGGCUUGGAAUGCGACCCCAGGAUGGGCGAGGCCACCCGCCGAGUUUAAGCAU